RNAcentral lists this ribosomal RNA (422 nucleotides) under uncultured bacterium. RNAcentral's name for it is "bacterial SSU rRNA". It matches the Rfam family "Bacterial small subunit ribosomal RNA", at positions 355 to 774 of the family's 1533-position model. The record is from RNAcentral.
UGAGGAAUAUUGGUCAAUGGACGAGAGUCUGAACCAGCCAAGUAGCGUGAAGGAUGAAGGUUCUAUGGAUUGUAAACUUCUUUUAUACGGGAAUAAACGGAUCCACGCGUGGAUUUUUGCAUGUACCGUAUGAAUAAGGAUCGGCUAACUCCGUGCCAGCAGCCGCGGUAAUACGGAGGAUCCGAGCGUUAUCCGGAUUUAUUGGGUUUAAAGGGAGCGUAGAUGGGUUGUUAAGUCAGUUGUGAAAGUUUGCGGCUCAACCGUAAAAUUGCAAUUGAUACUGGCAGUCUUGAGUACAGUUGAGGUAGGCGGAAUUCGUGGUGUAGCGGUGAAAUGCUUAGAUAUCACGAAGAACUCCGAUUGCGAAGGCAGCUUACUAACCUGUAACUGACAUUGAUGCUCGAAAGUGUGGGUAUCAAACA